This 763-nucleotide ribosomal RNA is filed under the name Clostridioides difficile. RNAcentral's name for it is "partial 23S ribosomal RNA". It matches the Rfam family "Bacterial large subunit ribosomal RNA", at positions 1918 to 2679 of the family's 2925-position model. Lineage: Bacteria; Bacillati; Bacillota; Clostridia; Peptostreptococcales; Peptostreptococcaceae. The record is from RNAcentral.
CCCCAGUAAACGGCGGCCGUAACUAUAACGGUCCUAAGGUAGCGAAAUUCCUUGUCGGGUAAGUUCCGACCCGCACGAAAGGCGUAACGAUUUGGGCACUGUCUCAACAACAGACUCGGUGAAAUUGUAAUUCCGGUGAAGAUGCCGGAUACCUGCGACAGGACGGAAAGACCCCAUGGAGCUUUACUGUAGCUUGACAUUGGGUCUUGGUACUACAUGUACAGGAUAGGUGGGAGGCUUUGAAACCAGGACGCCAGUUUUGGCGGAGCCAUCCUUGGGAUACCACCCUUGUAGUACUGGGACUCUAACCAUAGGCCAUGAAUCUGGUCUUGGGACACUGUCAGGUGGGCAGUUUGACUGGGGCGGUCGCCUCCCAAAAGGUAACGGAGGCGCUCAAAGGUUCUCUCAGUACGGUCGGAAAUCGUACGUAGAGUGUAAAGGCAAAAGAGAGCUUGAUUGCAAGACAUACAGGUCGAGCAAGGAUGAAAAUCGGACUUAGUGAUCCGGUGGUUCUGCGUGGAAGGGCCAUCGCUCAACGGAUAAAAGCUACCCUGGGGAUAACAGGCUUAUCUCCCCCAAGAGUCCACAUCGACGGGGAGGUUUGGCACCUCGAUGUCGGCUCAUCACAUCCUGGGGCUGUAGUAGGUCCCAAGGGUUGGGCUGUUCGCCCAUUAAAGUGGUACGCGAGCUGGGUUCAGAACGUCGUGAGACAGUUCGGUCCCUAUCCGUCGCAGGCGUAGGAAAUUUGAGAAGACCUGUCCUU